AAACGGGCGCUAAUACCGCAUACGUCCUGAGGGAGAAAGUGGGGGAUCUUCGGACCUCACGCUAUCAGAUGAGCCUAGGUCGGAUUAGCUAGUUGGUGGGGUAAAGGCCUACCAAGGCGACGAUCCGUAACUGGUCUGAGAGGAUGAUCAGUCACACUGGAACUGAGACACGGUCCAGACUCCUACGGGAGGCAGCAGUGGGGAAUAUUGGACAAUGGGCGAAAGCCUGAUCCAGCCAUGCCGCGUGUGUGAAGAAGGUCUUCGGAUUGUAAAGCACUUUAAGUUGGGAGGAAGGGCAGUAAGUUAAUACCUUGCUGUUUUGACGUUACCAACAGAAUAAGCACCGGCUAACUUCGUGCCAGCAGCCGCGGUAAUACGAAGGGUGCAAGCGUUAAUCGGAAUUACUGGGCGUAAAGCGCGCGUAGGUGGUUCAGCAAGUUGGAUGUGAAAUCCCCGGGCUCAACCUGGGAACUGCAUCCAAAACUACUGAGCUAGAGUACGGUAGAGGGUGGUGGAAUUUCCUGUGUAGCGGUGAAUGCGUAGAUAAUAGGAGACACCAGUGGCGAGGCGACCACUGACUGAUACUGACACUGAGUGCGAA
This 601-nucleotide ribosomal RNA is filed under the name Pseudomonas aeruginosa. Its description in RNAcentral is "bacterial SSU rRNA". It matches the Rfam family "Bacterial small subunit ribosomal RNA", at positions 154 to 757 of the family's 1533-position model. Lineage: Bacteria; Pseudomonadati; Pseudomonadota; Gammaproteobacteria; Pseudomonadales; Pseudomonadaceae. The record is from RNAcentral.